UACAGAGGUGGCAAGCGUUGUUCGGAAUUACUGGGCGUAAAGGGCGCGUAGGCGGCCCGUCAAGUCCCGUGUGAAAGCCCCCGGCUCAACCGGGGAACGGCGCGGGAAACUAGCAGGCUUGAGUUCGGGAGAGGGAAGCGGAAUUCCGGGUGUAGCGGUGAAAUGCGCAGAUAUCCGGAGGAACACCGGUGGCGAAGGCGGCUUCCUGGACCGACACUGACGCUGAGGCGCGAAGGUCAGGGGAGCAAACGGG
RNAcentral lists this ribosomal RNA (253 nucleotides) under uncultured bacterium. RNAcentral describes it as "partial 16S ribosomal RNA". It matches the Rfam family "Bacterial small subunit ribosomal RNA", at positions 524 to 776 of the family's 1533-position model. The record is from RNAcentral.